AACGUAGGAGACAAACGUUAUCCGGAGUUACUGGGCGUAAAGGGCGCGUAGGCGGUCAGCACAAGUCAGUUGUGAAAUCUCCGGGCUUAACUCGGAAAGGUCAACUGAUACUGUGCGACUAGAGUGCAGAAGGGGCAACUGGAAUUCUCGGUGUAGCGGUGAAAUGCGUAGAUAUCGAGAGGAACACCUGCGGCGAAGGCGGGUUGCUGGGCUGACACUGACGCUGAGGCGCGAAAGCCAGGGGAGCGAACGGG
Molecule: ribosomal RNA, 254 nt
Filed under: uncultured bacterium
Lineage: Bacteria
Description: partial 16S ribosomal RNA
Rfam family: Bacterial small subunit ribosomal RNA
Source: RNAcentral